UCAUCAAAACCAAUCAUUCAAUUUCAUUCAACCAUUCAAUUUCCAAUUACAUAAGCCAAUCAAUCCAUUUUCCAUUUAAAACAUACAACAUCUUCGAUUCAAAUUAUUUCAUUUAAUUUCACAUUUCCAUUCACAAAUUACAAUAUUCAAACCAACAUUCAUAUUCAACCAUUUCAACCACAAACCAAUGUUUUCAAUUGAAGGUUACGACAAAAUUACAAUUUCAAUCAAGUCAAUUUAAGUUCCAUUACAAAUCCAUUCCAUUUGAAACAAAUUUCAAGCAGUUCCUAGCACCUCCCAAAUGCAUUUACCUGCAAAAGAAAUCCAGUUUAAGUCAUUAACAUUGCCCCUGCGAAUUACCAAACAGAAAGAAGCAUAAGUCUCACUUGCAACCAAUUUCAUUUAACAUGUUAACAAUACUCCAAUUAACUUCAACCAAGAUCAUUCACAUUAAAACAAUUUAAAACAAUUUCACUAAUCCCUAACUUCACAAUUCACAACAAGUACUUAGCAAAACCGAAACUCUUCAACUAAGGGAUUCAAAACUAAUUCAUAACAGGAAAAACGAAAUUCCACUAAUUAACAUUUUCAAUACUCUAACAAUUAACAAAAUGAUUUCACUUCAUUCACAACAAGUCACGAGCAGAUUCAUCACCAAUUAACAAACUAAUCUACUAACAUUUAACCAUUUCAUUUAACAGAAAUUGAUCACUAAUAGAUUUAGUUAUAUUAACAUAACCUUCAAUUUUACUGACUCAGUUACAUUUCCAGAUGUUAUCACAGUUAGCAACCUCAUAACUACAUGAUAAAAACUCUGUUAACAGAACUAAAUCAAUAACUUCACUCUUCAAUUAACAGAAUCAUCACAGAGUUAACAACUUCAUAACUAACUAAUUUUACAACUCUCCUAACUAACUAAAUUUUUUCCACAGUGUUAACAAACGUGUAAAAGAAAUACACAUAAUUGAAUUAACAGAGAACCAUUAACAGAAUCACGCUGUAUGUAUGUUCACCCUGCAACUUCAACCAGGGACGAUUUUCAUUCUUUUCGAUUUUCAUCCUCCAUCUCUCUCUCUCUCAGAAUUUCAUUCUUCACAAACUCUCAGAAUUUCAUUCUUCACAAACUCUCAGAAUCUCAUAAAUUUAUUCUUCGACGUUCAUACGAUAUGUUCUUCUCUCAAUCUCGCAAGACUUCAUUGCAGAAACAAACAAGAACUUAAGCCGCAGCAGAGAAUUUGAGGAGAAGAAGAAGAAAUCAAAAUCAAAAGGAAAGUGAAGAACGCAAUACUUGUUCAAACCGAAAUUCCGAUUCAGUGAGUUCUUGCUUCAAAUCUGAUUCCACUUCAUUUCGAUUUUGUGCACGCCAAGAAUUGAGAUUGAAUUUUAGUCAUUCAAUUUCGGAGAUGGAAAUUGAUUUCGGAGCCAAAUGCUUCAUCGUCUUUUCGUUUCAAAAUGUGUAUCCGAGAAAGAAGACGUGAAGCCAUUGGAAUGCGGAUGAAGCUGCGCUUUGUGCUGAGCUGUUGGAUAUUCAAAUCCGUUUUGGGCUCGUUUUGAUGUGGAUAAACCGUUUUGGUUGUUUGAAAGCUUGACUCUGUUUGGGCCUAAGGCCAAAACGUGUUGCUAUGCACACUCCAUGACAAAUGCCAGCACCCUCCAUGGUUUUUUUAAUUUUUAUUUUUAUUUUUUCUUAUUUUAGCUUAAUCAUGAUUAAUUGAUAUCUUGAUUUAGUUUAGAUUAGGUUUGUUAAUAUUAGGCUAAUUAGG
This 1763-nucleotide long non-coding RNA is filed under the name Lathyrus oleraceus (garden pea). RNAcentral describes it as "Pisum sativum (pea) long non-coding RNA (PSAT_LNC030049)". Lineage: Eukaryota; Viridiplantae; Streptophyta; Magnoliopsida; Fabales; Fabaceae. The record is from RNAcentral.